CACGUAGGGGGCAAGCGUUGUCCGGAUUUAUUGGGCGUAAAGAGCUCGUAGGCGGUUCGGUAAGUCGGGUGUGAAACCUCCAGGCUCAACCUGGAGACGCCACCCGAUACUGCUGUGACUAGAGUCCGGUAGGGGAGCGUGGAAUUCCUGGUGUAGCGGUGAAAUGCGCAGAUAUCAGGAGGAACACCGGUGGCGAAGGCGCCACUCUGGGCCGAAACUGACGCUGAGGAGCGAAAGCGUGGGUAGCAAACAGG
RNAcentral lists this ribosomal RNA (254 nucleotides) under uncultured bacterium. Its description in RNAcentral is "partial 16S ribosomal RNA". It matches the Rfam family "Bacterial small subunit ribosomal RNA", at positions 524 to 776 of the family's 1533-position model. The record is from RNAcentral.